GACGAACGCUGGCGGCGUGCCUAAUACAUGCAAGUAGAACGCUGAAGGAGGAGCUUGCUCUUCUGGAUGAGUUGCGAACGGGUGAGUAACGCGUAGGUAACCUGCCUGGUAGCGGGGGAUAACUAUUGGAAACGAUAGCUAAUACCGCAUAAGAGUAGAUGUUGCAUGACAUUUACUUAAAAGGUGCAAUUGCAUCACUACCAGAUGGACCUGCGUUGUAUUAGCUAGUUGGUGGGGUAACGGCUUACCAAGGCGACGAUACAUAGCCGACCUGAGAGGGUGAUCGGCCACACUGGGACUGAGACACGCCCCAGACUCCUACGGGAGGCAGCAGUAGGGAAUCUUCGGCAAUGGACGGAAGUCUGACCGAGCAACGCCGCGUGAGUGAAGAAGGUUUUCGGAUCGUAAAGCUCUGUUGUAAGAGAAGAACGAGUGUGAGAGUGGAAAGUUCACACUGUGACGGUAUCUUACCAGAAAGGGACGGCUAACUACGUG
RNAcentral lists this ribosomal RNA (495 nucleotides) under uncultured bacterium. RNAcentral describes it as "partial 16S ribosomal RNA". It matches the Rfam family "Bacterial small subunit ribosomal RNA", at positions 28 to 507 of the family's 1533-position model. The record is from RNAcentral.